CCUGCCCCUAGAGGUGCUGCAGGAGUGGCUGCUGGGUCGUGCAUGACAGAGAGGAAGAUGCUAUGUCUAAGCUCAGUGUUCUCACCUGGGAACAUCUGAAUGUAGCCUAACAUU
Molecule: small nucleolar RNA, 114 nt
Organism: Rattus norvegicus (Norway rat)
Lineage: Eukaryota; Metazoa; Chordata; Mammalia; Rodentia; Muridae
Product: small nucleolar RNA SNORA17
Source: Ensembl